Molecule: ribosomal RNA, 457 nt
Filed under: uncultured bacterium
Lineage: Bacteria
Description: partial 16S ribosomal RNA
Rfam family: Bacterial small subunit ribosomal RNA
Source: RNAcentral
GAUGAACGCUGGCGGCGUGCCUAAUACAUGCAAGUCGUACGGAAAGGCCCUUCGGGGUACUCGAGUGGCGGACGGCUGAGUAACGCGUGGGAACGUGCCCCAAAGUGAGGGAUAACGCACCGAAAGGUGUGCUAAUACCGCAUAUGGUCUUCGGAUCAAAGCUUCGGCGCUCUGGGAACGGCCCGCGUACGAUUAGAUAGUUGGUGAGGUACUGGCUCACCAAGUCGACGAUCGUUAGCUGGUCUGAGAGGAGGAUCAGCCAGACUGGGACUGAGACACGGCCCAGACUCCUACGGGAGGCAGCAGUAAGGAAUCUUCCACAAUGGGGGCAACCCUGAUGGAGCAACGCCGCGUGCAGGAUGAAGGUUUGCGGAUCGUAAACUGCUUUUAUAAGUGAAGAAUAUGACGGUAACUUAUGAAUAAGGAUCGGCUAACUACGUGCCAGCCGCCGCGGUAA